This is a long non-coding RNA of Phyllostomus hastatus (greater spear-nosed bat), 1955 nucleotides long. RefSeq lists it as uncharacterized. The transcript is spliced from 4 exons. NCBI's taxonomy places the organism in Eukaryota, Metazoa, Chordata, Mammalia, Chiroptera, Phyllostomidae. The record is from RefSeq and is a predicted model, not a curated record.
CCACAAGAGCCUAGAUUUUCUGUCUACUAUGCGGGUAGAUACUUGUGCCUGGAGCUUAGAAGAGCCAUCUAAAAGUCAUCCAUACUGAUGUUGUGAUUGAAGCCUGGGGCAUUGAUAAGAUGACCCGGUGAGGUCAUAAACUCUCUAAUCAAAGACACCUGGGGCCGGGAACCUUUGAGGGGUGGAAGGAGGCCGAUGAGCUGAACCUAUAAGAAGCCACGUGCCAGGUGCCUUGCUCGACUGUCAAGAACACAGAGUGAUCUCAAUCUGUGCACCUCACAGAGAAGAGCCGUUUCUCCUGAAGAUAGCAACACAGAAGUGUAAUGGAUCCUGUUCAGGUAUUUCAGGAUGAGCCAGAGACCGAACUCCCAGGCGGAGCCGCCUCCCUUACUGCCUCCAGAGCACACAGCGAGGAGGUCCCAAUUCCCACGAAAGCCCCGGGGAUUCAGAAUUCUGUUUCAUUCCUGUCUUCAGGGCAAAUACAUAAGAGCAGUGAAGGAACUUCCUUUUAUGUCUGAAAGGGAUCGCCCCGCACUCCCGUUUAUACUGCCCUGAAAACAUCAUACAAUAAACUGGGGCAGAGGCGUUCCCUGAGCGCAAGUUUCUAGAAGCUGCCAUAUCAGUGAAAACGUUCGAUGCAAGCCCACGCUGCCUUGAGGAGUCUCCCGCCUCGCUCUCCCUGGGUGUGUACAUCUCCUUGACCUGCACUCCUGCAGACCCGUGCUCUUCUCCGCCAACACGUGGCCUGCUCUUGGUACUGGAUCGGCUGGCUCAGCUGCAAGCCCCACUCCUGUAGGCCCCACGUGUCCCCGUGGGCCCACUGCACUUAGUGGGGGCCUCACCACACUCGCACACUUCAAUUCGGACUAAAACUACCCUUUUCACUGCCGUAGAAAGUCUGAGUGGCUUCUUCAGGAGGGGGAAGGGCAUGAACUCACAAAAUCUCAGGACUAUCAGUGAUCGAAUCCCGGCUUUCCCUCUCCUCUCCUGAUCCAUCGGUUCUCUAAGCAGUGCCAGCCGCACCAGGGCUUCCAACCACAUUUAUCAAUGUGAUGUGUCCUCCCGAGUCUGCAGCUACUGACCCAGUCGCUGCUGCGGAGUUCUCGGAUGAUAUGUGCCCGGGCUCUUUCUGAUCGCUCCACCUACAUGCCACUCACCUUCUUCAACAUCAGUAUAUACGCAAUGCUCUAACUUUGACCUCCAAUCUGUUCUCUUUAAGGCUCCAUUCUACCAGUGCCAAGCGUUUGCUCGCGGUGUGCCAACUACUGGGCUGUAUUGCCCCAGGGAGAUAACCCAACACGAGCUUUGCUUUCGCGGAGUUUAGGGCCUGGGGAGUAAACCCAUCCGAGAGAUAAGGGACUGAUGCUGCAACAGAAGCGGAAAGGGAGCUAUCACGCACCGGAAGUGACGUUUACGUCUAGGCCUAUUAGCAAUUAGCUAGACCAGCGGAGCCCUGCGGAUGGGGUGCGGGGAGGUGUUUCGAACCCAGGGCACAGUGUUGUAAUGACUUGGAGAUAAGAGACAUUGACAUGAUUUAAAGAAUAACACAAUUCGGAGCUGGUGGACAGUAGUAUUUGAGGGGGAAAGCAGUGACAGUUGAGGCUGCCGAUGUAGGUAGCAGCCGGAUCCUGAAGGCCCUGGGAACCCUGUGCAAGGAGUUCAACUACGAAAGAGUGUCAUUCAAAAUAUUUAACAACUUAGAAUGUUUGUGCCAACCAAUCAGAACUGAUGCUGGCCUGAGCCGUCCAAUCAGAAAAGAGCCGUUAUCCACACCCCAGCUGAGUGCUGGCUCAGUCCCAAGAAUGCAAUGUUUCUGGAGAGUUUUGAGCAGUAUCUGAUAUGUCACUGAGGAAAGAAAAAUCAACAACGAUCAACAACUGAGCCUAAAAAAAGAGAGAAAAGACAAAAAUGAACUAAGCAAACAACCAGAACAUGAACAAAAUCACAGAACUGGA